ACGAACGCUGGCGGCGUGCUUAACACAUGCAAGUCGAACGGAAAGGCCUGCUUUCCCUUGUGGAUUGCGGGUGCUCGAGUGGCGAACGGGUGAGUAACACGUGAGUGAUCUGCCCCCAACUUGGGUAUAAGCCUGGGAAACUGGGUCUAAUUCCCGAUAGGACUGCAGGGUGGUGCCUGUGGUGGAAAACGAUUUUCUAGUGGUUGGGGAUGAGCUCGCGGCCUAUCAGCUUGUUGGUGGGGUAAUGGCCUACCAAGGCGGCGACGGGUAGCCGGCCUGAGAGGGUGGACGGCCACAUUGGGACUGAGAUACGGCCCAGACGCCUACGGGAGGCAGCAGUGGGGAAUAGUGCACAAUGGGCGGAAGCCUGAUGCAGCGACGCCGCGUGGGGGAUGACGGCCUUCGGGUGGUAAACUCCUUUCGACCGCGAGGAAGCCACCUGGUUGGAAGGGUGGUGACGGUAGUGGUAGAAGAAGCACCGGCUAACUACGUG
RNAcentral lists this ribosomal RNA (493 nucleotides) under uncultured bacterium. RNAcentral's name for it is "partial 16S ribosomal RNA". It matches the Rfam family "Bacterial small subunit ribosomal RNA", at positions 29 to 507 of the family's 1533-position model. The record is from RNAcentral.